RNAcentral lists this ribosomal RNA (99 nucleotides) under uncultured bacterium. Its description in RNAcentral is "partial 16S ribosomal RNA". It matches the Rfam family "Bacterial small subunit ribosomal RNA", at positions 1386 to 1482 of the family's 1533-position model. The record is from RNAcentral.
CACACCGCCCGUCACACCAUGGGAGUCGAUUGCCCCAGAAGUGGCUGCGCCAACCCGCAAGGGAGGCAGGUCCCCAAGGAGUGAUCGGUAACUGGGGUG